Non-coding RNA from Pocillopora verrucosa, 340 nucleotides. The record is from RefSeq and is a predicted model, not a curated record. Lineage: Eukaryota; Metazoa; Cnidaria; Anthozoa; Scleractinia; Pocilloporidae.
UGCGUCACGAGUGGAGAUCCACUCAACGUUUAUUGUAGUGCCGUUUAGAAUAUUAAUACAUGUGCAAAAGUUUCAGAGUACAGCAGAUUUUGCGUAUUUAAGCGAUCUCUCGCUCGCCUUUGCGUGGUGAAGCUGAAUCUUUCUUUGGUUUUGGGCAAACUGAAGAUUGUUAUGAUGAGGCCACGAUCGAUCUUCUUUUUCUUCACAAGCUUUUACAUCAUGACUCAGGUUUUCUUUAACUCCCUCCAAGCACUCGGCGAUUUGAUAGUCAAGAGUGGUGAACUUCUUUCGAUCAACACAACUGCUCCUUCCAUUGACAGCAGUUCAAAUUCUAAUUACA